Molecule: transfer RNA, 73 nt
Filed under: Merluccius polli (Benguela hake)
Lineage: Eukaryota; Metazoa; Chordata; Actinopteri; Gadiformes; Merlucciidae
Rfam family: tRNA
About the family: Transfer RNA (tRNA) molecules are approximately 80 nucleotides in length. Their secondary structure includes four short double-helical elements and three loops (D, anti-codon, and T loops).
Source: Rfam by way of RNAcentral
GUUUCUGUAGUGUAGUGGUUAUCACGUUCGCUUUACACGCGAAAGGUCCCUGGUUCGAAACCGGGCAGAAGCA